Long non-coding RNA from Pezoporus flaviventris, 253 nucleotides. RefSeq lists it as uncharacterized. Lineage: Eukaryota; Metazoa; Chordata; Aves; Psittaciformes; Psittacidae. The transcript is spliced from 3 exons. The record is from RefSeq and is a predicted model, not a curated record.
CUAGAAAUACCUGCUGGGCCUAAUGAGGUAGGCUUGGAGUGAUAGGGGUGUCCCAUUCCCAUCUUUUCAGAGGGAAGUAAGAGAGCGUGGUGUUAGGUAGCAGAGGGCAUGGACUCAGUGAACGUGUAUUCAACAGAAAAGGAAGACUGUGCAACCAAGGACAACAUAAGAUUAGCUCUACUUUGUAGCAUCUGCCUCAGGGUGAGAUGAAUUAUGCCCCUGAAAUUCCCAUUUCUCACUGUAGUAGGGAUAA